This is a long non-coding RNA of Papaver somniferum (opium poppy), 1610 nucleotides long. RefSeq lists it as uncharacterized. The record is from RefSeq and is a predicted model, not a curated record. The transcript is spliced from 4 exons. NCBI's taxonomy places the organism in Eukaryota, Viridiplantae, Streptophyta, Magnoliopsida, Ranunculales, Papaveraceae.
AAAAUCCAUUCCCCAUCUCUAUCUCAAACGGACCCUCUGCUCUCUUCCAUUUCCACCUAGAUUCAGAACACGGUAUUGCAGUUCGGAUUAUCAGCCGUAACAGAGGGAAUUGCAGAAACAACUUAUGAUUAGCAACUGUAGCACCACCAAGUUCAACUUACAAUUAGCAAGGCUAGAUAUGACCCUUCAUUAGAAUGGCCUCCUGCUUUGGCUUGACAAAAUGACAUGAUUUGAAAGGUAUGUUAAUAAAUAAUCUAUUAAAUUGAUGCGGCCUUUCAGACUUACUUAUGCGGCCUUUCAGUCUUAGACUGUUGAGCUGAAAAGCCAACAGUGGGGUUUACCAGUUCACAGCAAAAAAUGAGAGGAGGCAGUUGUACUUGUGGACUGCUUUUAAGAGAAGUUCUCCUCUCAACAAAUGGUACGACGGUCUACUUCAAUCUUAACAUAUCAGAAUAUUGUCGCAGCUGCUAUCAACUCCCUCCGCCCCUUAUGUUAAUGAUGCCAUCCAAAACUGAAAAUAAGUUUUAGUCAUUGGAUGUGAAGAUACUCGAAAGGCCAUCUCCGAGAUUCUUCUAUCUAAAUGGGAUCCAAAAUAUUAUGUUUGUUGGGUGAUUAUUAAGUCCGAAAUCCGUCUGUUGCAGCAUGUUAAUUUAAAUAUUUUCUUACAGUAAUUUAUGCAACGGGCUAACAACAUUCUUCAUCACACUCUACUUGCAUUCUGGACCAAAUUAUGGUUGCUAUUUCUGAUUUUAUUCAUCAUCCUUAACCCCACUCAAUUUUGUGCAGCUCAUCUUAUGCUUAACCACUCAUCUCUUUGUCCUCUCUAUGCUCAAUUGGAGUCGCACUGUCCGGCCAUUCUUUCUGCCUUAUGUAAGUUCAAAAUUUUGUCUCACAUCAAGUUUAUUUGGUUCUUUUUUGUUUUUGUCUCAUCUGCUCGCUAAAAGUGUGUUAGACUCUGCAAAUCGUUCCUCUUCAUGUAAUUGAUUUUCGGAUGGAGGGUAAGCAACGACGACCACUGUUAAGGAAAAGCCAUUCUGCUGUGUCUUCAAUUGGAUGGGUAAGCCAUAGAAUGUGGGCAAAGGUUGUUUCCCAUUGGUACACCUUGAAGCUACAGUGCAGGAUUGGAGCUUUCAUUGGACUAAUACUCCAAAUGUGGCGACCUAUGGAUUGAGCAGAAUUUGAAAAGCAAAAGACUUUCGUAAAAUUUCCUAUACGAUUGGCAGUUAAGUGGUGUAAGAGGAAAACAACUGCUACAGCGUUUGAGGUUGAGGAAGAUGAUGAAUCUCUGCUUCAAAGUUUAUGAAUAACACGUGCAGUGCACGUGCAUUUUACUAGUCUUAGGUUUUGAUGAUAACUGAUCUGUGUAGGCGCAGAAAGGUGUACCUCACCUGCCUGCCAUAAAUUAUUACGAUUUUAUGGACAACUUGGAAGAUUGGGACUGAUUAGAGCACAUGUUCCAAGUAUCUGUUUAAAUGUGCAUAUCUUGGUGCCCCAAAGUUUUGCCGAGCAGAUGUCACCGAUCUAAACUCCGGACUAAAAAUGUGAACAAGUUUUAGAUUAUUGGGUCUCAUUGGAACGUGACUCGUAAAACUUUGAUGGCAAAUCUUGGG